Molecule: ribosomal RNA, 235 nt
Filed under: uncultured bacterium
Lineage: Bacteria
Description: partial 16S ribosomal RNA
Rfam family: Bacterial small subunit ribosomal RNA
Source: RNAcentral
UGAGCAAUCUGCCCUUCUCAUCGGAAUAAGCGUUGGAAACGACGUCUAAUGCCGAAUACGACCUCCUUUCGCAUGAUCGGAGGUGGAAAGCUCCGGCGGAGAAGGAUGAGCUCGCGGCCUAUCAGCUAGUUGGUGUGGGUAACGCCCACCAAGGCGACGACGGGUAGCCGGCCUGAGAGGGUGACCGGCCACACUGGGACUGAGACACGGCCCAGACUCCGUACGGGAGGNAGCG